AGCGAACGCUGGCGGCAGGCUUAACACAUGCAAGUCGAGCGGGCAUAGCAAUAUGUCAGCGGCAGACGGGUGAGUAACGCGUGGGAACGUACCUUUUGGUUCGGAACAACUGAGGGAAACUUCAGCUAAUACCGGAUAAGCCCUUACGGGGAAAGAUUUAUCGCCGAAAGAUCGGCCCGCGUCUGAUUAGCUAGUUGGUGAGGUAAUGGCUCACCAAGGCGACGAUCAGUAGCGGGUCUGAGAGGAUGAUCAGCCACAUUGGGACUGAGACACGGCCCAAACUCCUACGGGAGGCAGCUGUGGGGAAUAUUGGGCAAUGGGCGCAAGCCUGAUCCAGCCAUGCCGCGUGAGUGAUGAAGGCCCUAGGGUUGUAAAGCUCUUUUGUGCGGGAAGAUAAUGACGGUACCGCAAGAAUAAGCCCCGGCUAACUUCGUGCCAGCAGCCGCAGUAA
Molecule: ribosomal RNA, 451 nt
Filed under: uncultured bacterium
Lineage: Bacteria
Description: partial 16S ribosomal RNA
Rfam family: Bacterial small subunit ribosomal RNA
Source: RNAcentral